CGAUCAUAUCAUAUCAUCCAAACGAGGCAGCGGUAAAAUUGUUAAUAAAACGAGGGCAUUAUAGUAAUUACGAUACAUCUGAUGUUCCUAUUUCAAUGAUAAAACCCUAAUUUCCAAUCUUUAAAACCCUUGUUUGACUGCAACGCCAUCGCAAACUCCUCUUUCAUCGCUACGACUCUCUCUUCUCCUUCUUCUUCUUCAUUGAAGCUCUUCUGAUCAUAACUGCCUUUCAGAGUAGCCAUGUGAAUCGUAAUACAAUUUCAUAAUUGGCUUAGUUAGGAGGCAGAGAUCAAACUGUUUGAUCAAUCUAGGGUUGGUCAUUCAUAAUCCAAGGCCUUUUUGAGGGGACAAUCUUGCUAUUCCUCUAUUGAUUGUCCUCCAAGCAGCCUUAGACAUCUAAGCAGAAAAGAAAGAUCUCCAGACAGAGGCGAAGAUCAAUCCGAAUCAGUUUGAGGGAGAGGAAAAUUUUCCUUCCUUUCCUUUCCUAGAUAGAUUCGAACAUUUGUUUUUCUCAUAAUUUUAAGAAGUUAAAAACAAAAACCAGACGAAUUCUGCGUUAGGUUAAACCAAACCAAUUUCAAAGUGAAGUUCGCUGUAAUAGGUAUGUGGGAUAAGAAAUCUCUAUUUCUUGCCAA
This is a long non-coding RNA of Hevea brasiliensis (rubber tree), 635 nucleotides long. RefSeq lists it as uncharacterized. NCBI's taxonomy places the organism in Eukaryota, Viridiplantae, Streptophyta, Magnoliopsida, Malpighiales, Euphorbiaceae. The record is from RefSeq and is a predicted model, not a curated record. The transcript has 2 exons.